UGACUAGAGCCAGUCCAGCUCAGAAAGGACUUGUCUUAAUUCAUGAGAUGAAUUUAAGACAACACCUGUUAAUUCUUGUCACCUGCCAUUUUCGUUUUAGGACAUUGGUCAAAUGUUGACCCAUGGACUUUGGAUUGAAGGCCACUUGGCAAGAGAGUUAGAUGUGUGCCCUAGAUGCCAGAUCGGCUGACACAUUCCCAUAC
RNAcentral lists this long non-coding RNA (203 nucleotides) under Elaeis guineensis (African oil palm). RNAcentral describes it as "long non-coding RNA (EGUI_LNC068518)". The record is from RNAcentral. Lineage: Eukaryota; Viridiplantae; Streptophyta; Magnoliopsida; Arecales; Arecaceae.